This is a non-coding RNA of Tachyglossus aculeatus (Australian echidna), 521 nucleotides long. Lineage: Eukaryota; Metazoa; Chordata; Mammalia; Monotremata; Tachyglossidae. The record is from the annotation of a RefSeq genome assembly.
GACCUUGCUUCCUCCACAGAGCCCUGAGCGCUACAGGUGGAAUCAUGCUGGGGUCUGUCACCCUCCUUCUCGCCAUCCUGCUCCCUGCAGGCCAGACAGCGCUCACCGUGGACCAGCCAAUGGUCUCCAUCACCAGACAGGCCGGGAAGUCUGCAAAAAUCCCCUGCGAGCUUUCUCAGAAAAGCAUCACAUACAUCCACUGGUAUCGCCAGCAGCCUGGGAAGGCUCCCCAGCGCCUGCUCUACUAUAACCUGGGCAUAUCAAAACAGACGUUGGAUGCAGGAUUCAGUUCGGACAAAUUCUAUGCUUACAAGAACAAUGAACAAAGCUGUAUUCUGGUGGUCCAGAAACUGGGCAUGAGUGAUACUGGCAUCUAUUACUGUGCCAGCUGGGACUCCACGGUGACACAGCUGCCUCUAUUCCCCGUACAAAAAAGUCACAGUCUGUGGUCACCAGGAGCAACUUCUGGCCCCGACGGAUCCAGCAGUGAACAACAGCCCCUGCUUCAGUCUCCUUGGUAA